This 1308-nucleotide unclassified non-coding RNA is filed under the name Hevea brasiliensis (rubber tree). Lineage: Eukaryota; Viridiplantae; Streptophyta; Magnoliopsida; Malpighiales; Euphorbiaceae. The record is from RNAcentral.
AAUAAAAAAAAAAAAAAAAAGCAGGAAUAUUUUAAAAAGAAGGGAAAGAAUUAGAAAGAUUCCCCCAUAGUGGGAGAACAAUGCAUCUUCCUGACAACCACGCCUUUCAUCGAACAUCAAUCAUUGUAAUGGUAACUUCAUUGAUAGAACAUGAUUCAUGUUCGGUACAGGAAGAUCCCCCCUCAAUCAAUUUUCUUUCAGUGAAGAAACCAGGAUCUUUAGGCUCCGGCAAUGCUCCCUCACCACUUAACAUCAUUACCACAGAUGACAUGGUUGGCCUGUCUUCUGGAUAGCGCUGCACGCAUAACAGACCUACAUGAAUUGAUCUUAACACUUCUGAUAGAUUGCAGGAUUCCACUACUAAUGCAUCAAUCAAAUCCAAAUAUCUGCCUUGUUUGAAGAGUAUCCAUGCCUGGAAGAUCAGAAAUCAUUUUUAAAAUUGAUAAUAGUAGCUUAAAGAUAGAGAAUCAAGAAAAAUUCUCUCAAACCUUACAUGCCCCAAAAGAUUGAGUUGGUGUUCUGGAUGACUAAAUCCCCUGUUUCUCUUCCCACUAAGUAUCUCCAACACUAGAACACCAAAGCUAAAUACAUCGGAUUUUACUGAGAACAAUCCAUCAAUGGCAUACUCUGGCGACAUGUAUCCACUGCACAAUACCAUAAAAUAAAGUAAUGCUUUUUCAACCACUAUAUCAAAAUACUAGCACACAUUUUUUUUUAUUCAAAGAAUGAAGGGAAAAAAGUACAUAAAAUGAAAGAACUCUUACUAUGUUCCGACCACUCUUUUUGUAUUUGCUUCAGUUUCAUUACCCAUGAAACUUCUAGCCAUGCCAAAGUCCGAGAUUUUUGGAUUCAUCUCAUUAUCUAGUAAAAUGUUACUUGGUUUGAGAUCUCUGUGAAUAAUUCUUAGUCUAGAGUCUUGAUGAAGAUAGAGAAGGCCCCUAGAAAUCCCACUGAUAAUGUGGAACCUCAUGGUCCAGUCCAAAGACAUCCUUUGUGUAUCAUCUGCAGAAAAUCUAUCCGCGUUAAUCCAUAUAGCUGCUGAUUAUAUUUUUUUAACUAUAAUUGAAUACAAUCUUAAAUAGAAUUCAUAACAAAAAUGUGAGUGCGAGUUCAUGUUAUCGCUUGAUAUAUUGAGUUGAAAACACAAGUGAAACAAUCUUCAGAUAAAAUCUAAGAGGCAUCGGAACCACUUGAUAAAAUUAACCUAACAAACUUCUAUAGGGAGAAAAAAUAAAUAAAUAAACAGAUCAGGAUUAAGAUAUUCGACCAGAAAUAUAUAGGUCUAGGCUUUUGUUGGGCAUGUAUUCA